Molecule: RNase P RNA, 402 nt
Filed under: bovine gut metagenome
Description: Bacterial RNase P class A
Rfam family: Bacterial RNase P class A
About the family: Ribonuclease P (RNase P) is a ubiquitous endoribonuclease, found in archaea, bacteria and eukarya as well as chloroplasts and mitochondria. Its best characterised activity is the generation of mature 5'-ends of tRNAs by cleaving the 5'-leader elements of precursor-tRNAs. Cellular RNase Ps are ribonucleoproteins.
Source: RNAcentral
GUAGGAGAGGCAAUCGCGGGGAAGAAAUUUUCCGAGGAAAGUCCGGACUCCACAGAGCAGCGUGCCGGGUAACGCCCGGUGAGAGAAAUCUUAAAGAAAGUGUCACAGAAAAGGAAACCGCCGAAAAGCAAUUAGAAAUGCGCAAUGCGCAAUUAAAAAAAUCAUUACGCAUUACGCACUACGCAUUACGCAUUGCAGUUCGGUAAGGAUGAAAAGGCAGGGUAAGAGCCUACCGCAGGACGGGCGACCGUUCGGGCUGAUAAACCUCACGCGGAGCAAGCCUAAAUAGGAGAUGGAUGAGGUUGCUCGCUGACAUCUCGGGUAAGGUGCUACGACUUGGGCGGCAACGUUCAAGCAAGAUAAAUGAUUGCCACUAUACAGAAUCCGGCUUAUUGAUUGCCU